Molecule: non-coding RNA, 1524 nt
Organism: Lepisosteus oculatus (spotted gar)
Lineage: Eukaryota; Metazoa; Chordata; Actinopteri; Semionotiformes; Lepisosteidae
Source: RefSeq, a predicted model, not a curated record
UCUGUGUGCCGAGGCACAGCUGAACCAUGUGGUUUCUGCAGGAUGCUGGGUGAGUUUGCUGAGGAAAUGGAUCACACCAGCUCCCGGAUGAACUCUGUGCUGAAGAAGAUGGAGAAAGUCUCUCACAUGACUAGCAGCCGGCGACAGUGGUGCGCUAUUGGGGUUCUGGUGGUGACUGUGCUCAUCGUUCUCAUCCUGAUCUUCGCACUUUGAUCCCUGACCUCCCCACUCCCUCCUGAGACCAGGCAGCGAUGGACAGGCUGAGAAGAUGGGCGCUCCUUUUCCUUCACCCCCUCCUCCGUCUCUCCCUCCACCCCUGGGACUCUGGGUCCUAUCAGUGCAUUCGUCCAGCUGGGCGCCUGCUUUUUUUAGACGGUUUUAGCUUCAGCGCUUCUGUGUCUGUGUGCCCUCGACCAGGGCAGCUCUCUCUCUCUGUUUCCAGACCAGAAGUGAUUUUAGGAUGCCAUUGGAUGAGGGUUGAGGGUCAAGGGUCACUGACCCCAAGCACAAGUAGAAUGGUCUGUUGCAGCUGGACCACUCUGUGGGUACCCGGAUUGGACCCGGAAUCCCCCGAGGGUUGUGGGAUCAAUAACGAGGUGCUGCUUGGAGUGAUCCUUCUGAUUAACUCUUUCGCUGCCAGCGAGCCUGUUGCCCUCCCCUUGGGAAGCCCCGGUGUCUCCAAGGCGAGAUGGGAGAGGUACCUGCAGGUCACCCCACCCUGACCUCACAGUCUCCCUGACCUCUCAUGCAGCCCAGUCCCGGCGGUGAGUCCUCUUACCCCCAGUGCUUUGCUGAACUAGCUGCUGGUUACCUGUAAAUUUGAAUGUUUUAUAGCCACUUACUUGAGCCUUGACAGAGCUGAAGCCGCAGUGCUGCUGUUCCACAGCUGUUAGCUGGCAGGUUCCCUCGUCCUGGAACCAGCUCAGCCGCCAUGCUGUUGGGGUACCCCCUCCCCGAAUCCUUAUGGAGCAACACCGCGGAUCCUCGGGACUCCCCCACCCCAUUUCCUGCCUGCGAAGGGCUCUGUGGAUCUGGGCCGGCCCUUUGGGAGUGUGGGCAAAAGGCCCGAUCUGACAGUUGAGUUUAAUUAAGGGCUGUGAUUAACAGGCCUGGGGGAGAUCUCCUGGGGUGAGUGCCUGAGUCCCUACGUACACAGUUGCUGCAGAUGUAGGGCGGGUCCAGACGGGCCCGCUUUUUAAAAGAGGGCAGAUGGCUGCUGUGUGCUGCUGUCUGACAGGUGUUUAGCGGGCUUUUCUGAUUAAUGGGCCUGGGUUCUGCUAACAGGACACAGCUCUGCAGAGGGCCCUGGGCUGUGUUGAGUGGACACAGCUCUGCAGAGGGCCCUGGGCUGUGUUGAGGGGACACAGCUCUGCAGAGGGCCCUGGGCUGUGCUGAUGGUACUGCACUCUGCUUUGCCUUAGGCAGAGAAGAUUUCUGGUCUCCAGAAAUGUAUUUACGGUUUUAUAUUUGUAAAAUAUCUUUUAUUACAGGACUGUUUUAUAAUACACCUUGAUCUUGUCAAUA